CGGACGGGUGAGUAACGCGUGGAUAACCUGCCUCACACUGGGGAUAACAGUUAGAAAUGGCUGCUAAUACCGCAUAAGCGCACAGUACCGCAUGGUACGGUGUGAAAAACCCAGGUGGUGUGAGAUGGAUCCGCGUCUGAUUAGCCAGUUGGCGGGGUAACGGCCCACCAAAGCGACGAUCAGUAGCCGACCUGAGAGGGUGACCGGCCACAUUGGGACUGAGACACGGCCCAA
Molecule: ribosomal RNA, 234 nt
Filed under: uncultured bacterium
Lineage: Bacteria
Description: partial 16S ribosomal RNA
Rfam family: Bacterial small subunit ribosomal RNA
Source: RNAcentral